CAGUCGCCGCGGUAAUACGGAGGGCGCGAGCGUUACCCGGAUUUACUGGGCGUGAAGGGCGUGUAGGCGGCCUGGGGCGUCCCAUGUGAAAGGCCACGGCUCAACCGUGGAGGAGCGUGGGAUACGCUCAGGCUAGAGGGUGGGAGAGGGUGGUGGAAUUCCCGGAGUAGCGGUGAAAUGCGCAGAUACCGGGAGGAACGCCGAUGGCGAAGGCAGCCACCUGGUCCACUUCUGACGCUGAGGCGCGAAAGCGUGGGGAGCAAACCGGAUUAGAUACCCCUGUAGUCCCUGUCUCUUAUAC
This 301-nucleotide ribosomal RNA is filed under the name uncultured bacterium. Its description in RNAcentral is "partial 16S ribosomal RNA". It matches the Rfam family "Bacterial small subunit ribosomal RNA", at positions 509 to 807 of the family's 1533-position model. The record is from RNAcentral.